GUUGGGUAGGGGAGCGUUCUGUAAGCCUGCGAAGGUGUACUGUGAGGUAUGCUGGAGGUAUCAGAAGUGCGAAUGCUGACAUAAGUAACGAUAAUGCGGGUGAAAAACCCGCACGCCGGAAGACCAAGGGUUCCUGUCCAACGUUAAUCGGGGCAGGGUGAGUCGACCCCUAAGGCGAGGCUGAAAAGCGUAGUCGAUGGGAAACGGGUUAAUAUUCCCGUACUGGUGGUAACUGCGAUGGGGGAACGGAGAAGGCUAGGUUGUCCGGGCGACGGUCGUCCCGGUUCAAGCAGGUAGGCAGAGUGAUUAGGCAAAUCCGGUCACUUAAUGCUGAGAUGUGAUGACGAACCACUAAGGUGGUGAAGCAAUUGAUGCCCCGCUUCCAGGAAAAGCCUCUAAGCUUCAGGUUACCAACAAUCGUACCCCAAACCGACACAGGUGGUCAGGUAGAGAAUACUCAGGCGCUUGAGAGAACUCGGGUGAAGGAACUAGGCAAAAUGGUGCCGUAACUUCGGGAGAAGGCACGCUGGCGGUAGGUAAAGUCCCUCGCGGACAGAGCUGAAGCCAGUCGAAGAUACCAGCUGGCUGCAACUGUUUAUUAAAAACACAGCACUGUGCAAACACGAAAGUGGACGUAUACGGUGUGACGCCUGCCCGGUGCUGGAAGGUUAAUUGAUGGGGUUAGCGCAAGCGAAGCUCCUGAUCGAAGCCCCAGUAAACGGCGGCCGUAACUAUAACGGUCCUAAGGUAGCGAAAUUCCUUGUCGGGUAAGUUCCGACCUGCACGAAUGGCGUAAUGAUGGCCAGGCUGUCUCCACCCGAGACUCAGUGAAAUUGAACUCGCUGUGAAGAUGCAGUGUACCCGCGGCAAGACGGAAAGACCCCGUGAACCUUUACUAUAGCUUGACACUGAACAUUGAGCCUUGAUGUGUAGGAUAGGUGGGAGGCUUUGAAGUGUGGACGCCAGUCUGCAUGGAGCCAACCUUGAAAUACCACCCUUUAACGUUUGAUGUUCUAACCUAGGCCCGUGAUCCGGGUCGGGGACCGUGUCUGGUGGGUAGUUUGACUGGGGCGGUCUCCUCCUAAAGAGUAACGGAGGAGCACGAAGGUUGGCUAAGCAUGGUCGGACAUCAUGCGGUUAGUGCAAAGGCAUAAGCCAGCUUGACUGCGAGAGUGACGGCUCGAGCAGGUACGAAAGUAGGUCUUAGUGAUCCGGUGGUUCUGAAUGGAAGGGCCAUCGCUCAACGGAUAAAAGGUACUCCGGGGAUAACAGGCUGAUACCGCCCAAGAGUUCAUAUCGACGGCGGUGUUUGGCACCUCGAUGUCGGCUCAUCACAUCCUGGGGCUGAAGUAGGUCCCAAGGGUAUGGCUGUUCGCCAUUUAAAGUGGUACGCGAGCUGGGUUUAGAACGUCGUGAGACAGUUCGGUCCCUAUCUGCCGUGGGCGUUGGAAGAUUGAGAGGGGUUGCUCCUAGUACGAGAGGACCGGAGUGAACGCACCACUGGUGUUCGGGUUGUCAUGCCAAUGGCAUUGCCCGGUAGCUAAGUGCGGAAGAGAUAACCGCUGAAAGCAUCUAAGCGGGAAACUUGCCUCGAGAUGAGUCUUCCCUGUCGCUUAAAGUGACCUAAAGGAACGUUUAAGAC
This 1642-nucleotide ribosomal RNA is filed under the name Proteus mirabilis. RNAcentral describes it as "partial 23S ribosomal RNA". It matches the Rfam family "Bacterial large subunit ribosomal RNA", at positions 1223 to 2845 of the family's 2925-position model. The record is from RNAcentral. Lineage: Bacteria; Pseudomonadati; Pseudomonadota; Gammaproteobacteria; Enterobacterales; Morganellaceae.